This is a long non-coding RNA of Mustela lutreola (European mink), 3417 nucleotides long. RefSeq lists it as uncharacterized. The transcript has 4 exons. The record is from RefSeq and is a predicted model, not a curated record. Lineage: Eukaryota; Metazoa; Chordata; Mammalia; Carnivora; Mustelidae.
CUGGAGAGCAGGAAAGGGCUCGCGGAGCAGGCGGCGGCGAGGACAGGCAAGCGGGAGCCGCUGACGGGGAAAUCCACUGGCAGCGAGCGCGUGCUUACAUGUCUGCGGGACUGAUACCAACCUUCAGAUCCCAUUUUUGCAACCCACGGCUCAGAUGAAGGAAGUAACCCAUACUGUCCAUAACGCCACUCAACGCCUCUGAGGCCACCUUCUGCCCGCACUCCAGACAGCUUGUCCAAUGAGGAUUCUCUCCGCUGCAUCAGUAUAUAGAGUUCCUGGGUGAGAGAGAAAGAGGGGUGAGAAGGGGCAGAGGGAGAAGAAGAGAGAAACCCAAGCAGACUCUGCACUGAGCAUGGAGCCCUACCCAGGGCUUGAUCUCACGAUCCUGAGAGCGCAACCUGAGCUGAAACCAAGAGUUCUAUGCUUAACUGACUACACCACCCAGGUCGUGGUCAGAAAAAGCCAGAAAAACCUGCCAUUAACUCUUGCUACUCAAAGAGUGAACAAGCAGCCUCACAACCUCUGGGAGCCCCAUUAGAAAUACCAACUCCAACUCCACCCUAGGACUUGCUGCCUGGGAAUCUGCAUUGUAACAAGAUAUCCAGGUGUUUCUUGUGUGGCCACUGAAGGUAAAGAAGCCCUGCUAUGAUGCUGGCUAUGUUCUGCCUAAUUACACGUGUCCUGCACAGCAUAGUCUCAGGGUGUAGCGGGAGAGGAGAAGUGAAUGUAGUUGGAAAGCAGUGCUCAAAUGAUCUGCUCCCAGGUUCCUUUAAGUUGCCUUUCCUAUGGAAUAACUCAGAGAAACUGGUCACUGACUUUCUUUUUUCUUCUUUUCCUCUUUUUGGACUGAAUGGUGAUUUUUUCUUUUUUUUUUCUGAUUAGCUGAUUUUACACAUACUCUAUACCCACACAUUUCCAGUUUCUCUUUAAAAAAAACUGGAAAAUCUGACAACGUGAGUCUAACAUUUCUGUAAGGCAGCAGUCAGCUGGAGUUGAGUACUGUCUGUGCCCUGUGGACAGAGCACUGAUCCUCAGUCCUCUCCACUCCCCACCACACAUAGUCUUUUCAUACAUAGUUGCUUGGUCACUGAAAGCAUUUGAUUUUGUGAUCCCUGUGCUGUGUAUAUUAUCCUGAUUUUAUUUUUAUUUAUUUUCUUAUUUGUUUUUUUUUAAUUUUUUAAGAUUUUUAUUUAUUUAUUUAUUUGACAGACAGAGAUCACAAGCAGAGAGGCAGGCAGAGAGAGAGGAGGAAGCAGGCUCCCUGCUAAGCAGAGAGCCCAAUGCGGGGCUCGAUCCCAGGACCCUAGGAUCAUGGCCUAGGGCAAAGGCAGAGGCUUUAACCCACUGAGCCACCCAGGUGCCCCUAUUAUCCUGAUUUUUAAUUGUUCUUCGUAGAUCUUAAUCUGUGGUCAUUAGAUAUUCUUUGGACUUUCCUACUGAGAAUGAUUAAAAAACAAAAAUAGGUUCUGCACCAGCAACAGAAUUUAGCAAAAGUGUAUUAUCUCAACUGUGGCAAAAAUAUAUGGCUCUGGACCGCCUGCUGCUUUAUUGUGUUUCACGGUUUUCAUACUGCUGACUCCGAUUCUGCUUCUAAGAAAGUGGGACUCAGGCUUUUUUUCAGUUGUCUUGUGGUUGGUGGUUCCUCGAUUCUUCCUAGUGGGGUUUUAGUUUUCCUAAAUAGAUACCAUUGCUAUGCCUCUUCAGAUGUUAUCCUCUUGUUUUAUUUAUUCGAUCAGAGACUAGUUUGUUGUUCUGAGGGGACAAGUUAAUGUAAUGUCAAUUUAGUGUACUCAGAGUGCCUCAGGCUAUGGAAUGGACCAGCACUGAUAGAUAUACAGUAUUGGAAAGUAGUUACAAAUGUCCUUAGAAAGCAUUUGGGGUAUGAAUUAGGUCAGACUGAGACACAAAGAAUGAAAAGUUCUGAAUUCCCUCUGGUGAAUAAUAAUUUCCUCAUUGUAAUAGGUUUAGCUUAGCUUUCCUUUCUGUACAAAAGAUGUUUCUGGUUGUGUGUAAUCGAAGACCAGAUUCAAAUUGGCAGUGAAGGAAAUUUACUGGCUCACAGAGUUAAAAAGUGCAGUGGGAGAUCAGGCUUCAGGCAUAAUCAGAUCAAGGCUCUAGUUCUGCUUCUCUUUUGAGUCUGUCACCUCUGCCCCUCUCAGUGUCUGCUUCAUUUUUAGCCUUGCUUCCUAUACAGUAAAUAAACAGCUAAAAUAGUUCCACAUACAACAACUCCCUGUGGCCAAGAGAAUAUCUUUCCUGAGCAGUUGGUAAGAAUAAGGAAAUUUCCCACAAAUCCUCAUAAAAAUCUUUUUAUAUCCAUCCCUCGUCAGCACUGGGUCAUUUGGCCAUCUUUGAAUGAUUCAGUGUACCAACGUAACCAGCCAGAGCUAAUCAGGGCUUACUCUGUAUUAGCUCAUCCAUACUUCAGGGCUGAAUGGGUUGGGUAGGGAAAGCUAUUACAGUGAAGGUGGGGUAGAAAGCUGGAAGGAGAUACCUUCUUUAGAAGUUAUACAGCCAGGAGGAAGCUUCAUUAAUUAUGACCAUCCUCUCAGUUGCUACCUCACAUACUGAAAACAAGUUCUUUAUAUGGUAGCCCUUCUUUUCUUUCAUGAGGAUGAAACUUUAAUCAUAAAAGUAUAAGUACUGGUUAUACCAACAGGCUGCCAUAGCACAGUACUGUAGACAGGGAAGCUUGAACAAUAGAUAUUUAUUUUCUCACAGUUCUGGAGGUGGCAAGUUGAAGAUCAGGAUGCCAGUUGUUAGGUUCCGGUGAGAAGUCUCUUACUGGCUUGCAGAUGGCCACCUUUUUGGUGUGUUCUCACAUGGCAGAGAGAGAGAGGGAGAGAGAAUGGGAGGGAGAGGGAGAAAGAGAGAGGCAGAGGGAGAAAUCUCUCAUCCUCUUCUUCUAAGGCCCUAAACCUACCAGAUUAGGGCACCACCCUUUUGGCUUUAUUUACCCUAAAUUCACUUCUAAAGAUCCUGUCUUCAGAUAGUCCUUUUGGGUGUUAGGGCUUCACCAUAUUAAUUAGAGGGGGGACAGACUCAGUAUAUAUCAGUCCACAAAUGUUAAUCAUUCCCAAGUAUUUUUUGAGCAUCUGUUCUGUACUUAGGCUGGACCAGGGAUUGUGAUUGUUGGGAGUGCAGUGAGAUGGGAUGAAAUAAUCACUGAGGAGGAAGUCAUAAACUAGAACAAAUGCUGUGAAAUAGAAUAAAUGCUGAAGAAACUCCAGAAUGGCAGGGAUCAAUGAAGAGUGGAAUGGCCCAAAAGCUUUAUGGAGGAGUUGAGGCCUAAGCCAGGAUUUUGGAAUCCAUGAAAGGAAGUAAGAACUGUGCGACAGGGUAAAAAUCCAGACUAGGGAUGGGGAUCCCAAUAGGGAUGAAGGGAAAGUGCCAGGUACCAGAGAGGUCUUACAGAAA